CCUACGGGAGGCAGCAGUGAGGAAUAUUGGUCAAUGGGCGCGAGCCUGAACCAGCCAAGUAGCGUGAAGGAUGACUGCCCUACGGGUUGUAAACUUCUUUUAUAACGGAAUAAAGUGAGGCACGUGUGCCUUUUUUUAUGUAUUUUAUGAAUAAGGAUCGGCUAACUCCGCGCCAGCAGCCGCGGUAAUACGGAGGAUCCGAGCGUUAUCCGGAUUUAUUGGGUUUAAAGGCAGCGUAGAUGGGUUGUUAAGUCAGUUGUGAAAGUUUGCGGCUCAACCGUAAAAUUGCAAUUGAUACUGGCAGCCUUGAGUACAGUUGAGGUAGGCGGAAUUCGUGGUGUAGCGGUGAAAUGCUUAGAGAUCACGAAGAACUCCGAUUGCGAAGGCAGCUUACUAAACUGCCACUGACAUUGAUGCUCGAAAGUGUGGGUAGCAAACAGGAUUAGAUACCCGAGUAGUC
Molecule: ribosomal RNA, 460 nt
Filed under: uncultured bacterium
Lineage: Bacteria
Description: partial 16S ribosomal RNA
Rfam family: Bacterial small subunit ribosomal RNA
Source: RNAcentral